Molecule: long non-coding RNA, 745 nt
Organism: Ornithodoros turicata
Lineage: Eukaryota; Metazoa; Arthropoda; Arachnida; Ixodida; Argasidae
Exons: 9
Source: RefSeq, a predicted model, not a curated record
UGCAGGCUUUCAGGGCAGAGGGUUUGCGGGCUAGAUUUGAUCAUGGAAUAACCAAUUUUGUCAUUAGUAAGAAGGUGGGAGCCUAUAGUUGACUUAGAGGCACUGUAAGUGUGGUCCAGAAAAGUUUGUAGUGACAUGGGCAACGGAGAAGCAUAUGUGUCCUACAUUUUCCAGAUUGCCACAGUGGCGGUACCUUGGAGAGUCAACUUGUUGCAGGCGGUAUAACACCACUGAGCUGUAAAAGCCACGUUUGAGUCGUGUCCGAUGAAUUGAUGCAGAAUCUUGACGAGAGGUGGGAUGGGACUGGAAGACGGGCCUUCGAAGUGUGGCCUCAGGAAAAACAAAGUGUGCUGAGACAGGAAGGAAGACCUUCGAAACUUGGCCUCAGGAAACACCAUGAGGUGGGAUAUGGACUCUAAAAAGGGCUUUUGAAGUGUGCCCUCAGGAAACACUGGGAGUUGGGAAGGGACUGUGAGAAGGACCUUUGAAGUAUGGCCUCAGGAAACACCAGGAGGUCGACUGGAAGAAGGACCUCCGAAAUUUGGCGUAAGAACAUACUAAGAGGUGUACUGAGACAGGAAUGAAGACCUCCGAAACUUGGCCUCAGGAAACACCAGGAGGUGUAGGGAGACAGGAAGGAAGACCUCCGAAACUUGGGCUCAGGAAACACCAGGAGGUGGAAUGGGAGAGGAAGAACGGCCACCGAAAUUUGGGCACUGCGAACGGGACGGUGGUACUUCGAAAU